AUUGAACGCUGGCGGCAUGCUUUACACAUGCAAGUCGAGCGGCAGCGCGGGGGCAACCCUGGCGGCGAGCGGCGAACGGGUGAGUAACACAUCGGAACGUACCUAGUUGUGGGGGAUAACCUACCGAAAGGUAGGCUAAUACCGCAUGAGCUCGGGAGAGGAAAGCGGGGGACCUGCAAGGGCCUCGCGCGACUGGAGCGGCCGAUGUCCGAUUAGCUAGUUGGUGGGGUAAAGGCUUACCAAGGCGACGAUCGGUAGCUGGUCUGAGAGGAUGAUCAGCCACACUGGGACUGAGACACGGCCCAGACUCCUACGGGAGGCAGCAGUGGGGAAUUUUGGACAAUGGGGGCAACCCUGAUCCAGCCAUGCCGCGUGAGUGAAGAAGGCCU
Molecule: ribosomal RNA, 389 nt
Filed under: uncultured bacterium
Lineage: Bacteria
Description: bacterial SSU rRNA
Rfam family: Bacterial small subunit ribosomal RNA
Source: RNAcentral